GGCUAGAGUGUGGGAGAGGAAGAUGGAAUUAGUUGUGUAGGGGUAAAAUCCGUAGAGAUAACUAGGAAUACCAAAAGCGAAGGCAAUCUUCUGGAACACUACUGACGCUGAGGCGCGAAGGCGUGGGGAGCAAACAGGAUUAGAUACCCUGGUAGUCCACGCAGUAAACGAUGAAUGUUAGUCGUCGGGUAGCUAGUCUAUUCGGUGAUGCAGCUAACGCAUUAAACAUUCCGCCUGGGGAGUACGGUCGCAAGAUUAAAACUCAAAGGAAUAGACGGGGACCCGCACAAGUGGUGGAGCAUGUGGUUUAAUUCGAAGAUACGCGAAGAACCUUACCUAGCCUUGACAUAUAUUAGAACUCCGCAGAGAUGCAGAGGUGCCUUCGGGAGCUUUUAUACAGGUGCUGCACGGCUGUCGUCAGCUCGUGUCGUGAGAUGUUGGGUUAAGUCCCGCAACGAGCGCAACCCUCGUCACUAGUUACUAACGGUUCGGCCGAGGACUCUAGUGAGACUGCCUUCGUAAGGAGGAGGAAGGUGAGGACGACGUCAAGUCAUCAUGGCCCUUACGGCUAGGGCAACACACGUGCUACAAUGGCCAGGACAGUGAGACGCGAUACCGCGAGGUGGAGCAAAUCUAUAAACCUGGUCUCAGUUCGGAUUGUAGUCUGCAACUCGACUACAUGAAGCUGGAAUCACUAGUAAUCGUAGAUCAGCUAUGCUAC
Molecule: ribosomal RNA, 721 nt
Filed under: uncultured Campylobacterota bacterium
Lineage: Bacteria; Pseudomonadati; Campylobacterota
Description: bacterial SSU rRNA
Rfam family: Bacterial small subunit ribosomal RNA
Source: RNAcentral